Molecule: ribosomal RNA, 253 nt
Filed under: uncultured bacterium
Lineage: Bacteria
Description: partial 16S ribosomal RNA
Rfam family: Bacterial small subunit ribosomal RNA
Source: RNAcentral
GACGGAGGGUGCAAGCGUUGUUCGGAAUCACUGGGCGUAAAGGGCGUGUAGGCGGCCCUGUAAGUCGAGCGUGAAAGCCCGAGGCUUAACUUCGGAAGUGCGCUCGAAACUGCAAGGCUUGAGUACGGGAGAGGGAAGUGGAAUUCCUGGUGUAGAGGUGAAAUUCGUAGAUAUCAGGAGGAACACCGGUGGCGAAGGCGGCUUCCUGGACCGAUACUGACGCUGAUACGCGAAAGCGUGGGGAGCAAACAGG